CUACAAAUGAAUUGACGGGGACCCGCACAAGCAGCGGAGCGUGUGGUUUAAUUCGAUGCUACACGAAGAACCUUACCAGGGUUUGACAUGCAAGUGGUAGGAAUCUGAAAAGGGACCGACCCUUCGGGGAGCUUGCACAGGUGCUGCAUGGCUGUCGUCAGCUCGUGUCGUGAGAUGUUCGGUUAAGUCCGCUAACGAGCGCAACCCUCACUGUGUGUUAUAUGUGUCACACGGGACUGCCGGUUUUAAGCCGGAGGAAGGUGGGAUGACGUCAAGUCAGCAUGGCCUUUAUAUCCUGGGCUACACACACGCUACAAUGGUCGGUACAAUAGGUUGCCAAGCCGCGAGGCGGAGCCAAUCCACAAAGCCGGCCUCAGUUCAGAUUGUAGGCUGCAACUCGCCUGCAUGAAGAUGGAGUUGCUAGUAACCGCAGGUCAGCAAUACUGCGGUGAAUACGUUCCCGGGUCUU
Molecule: ribosomal RNA, 469 nt
Filed under: uncultured Anaerolineaceae bacterium
Lineage: Bacteria; Bacillati; Chloroflexota; Anaerolineae; Anaerolineales; Anaerolineaceae
Description: bacterial SSU rRNA
Rfam family: Bacterial small subunit ribosomal RNA
Source: RNAcentral